RNAcentral lists this microRNA precursor (149 nucleotides) under Picea abies (Norway spruce). RNAcentral describes it as "miR11409g stem-loop (pab-MIR11409g)". The record is from miRBase by way of RNAcentral. Lineage: Eukaryota; Viridiplantae; Streptophyta; Pinopsida; Pinales; Pinaceae.
GGUUCUAUCAAGUACCGAGAGGGAUCAAAUUUCAUAAGGUGUAAUUUUUUUAUCAUUUAACUCCAUGUCAUCUACUAAAUCCUUCAUAUUAAAUGAUAAAAAAAAUUGCACCUUAGGAAAUUUGAUCCCUCUCGGUGCCUGAUAGCUCC